Molecule: long non-coding RNA, 386 nt
Organism: Bombyx mori (domestic silkworm)
Lineage: Eukaryota; Metazoa; Arthropoda; Insecta; Lepidoptera; Bombycidae
Exons: 2
Source: RefSeq, a predicted model, not a curated record
UACCAUGACAUGGGGUAAAUUGGGAUCCUGGGGUAAAUUGGGACAAACCUGCGGAAGAUUCUCAAAGUACCUGUAGCACGGAAUCUACCUAAUUUUGUUUAUGUUAAUAUUUAUCAAUGUAUAGAAGAAAAACCAAGUUAACUAUGGAAGUACUAAAUAUGAGUUAAGUUGGUCCCAAAAAUUCGUCAAAUUAAAUUGAAAAUAGUGGUUGAAAAGUGCGUUUUAAAACAGCUUAAAGAACUUUUAAAAAAAGUAAUAUUAUCGUUGUUUUUUCCAUAAGAUUACAGUUUAUAUAAGUUUUUAAUACACCUGGAAAUACCACAACAAACGAAUCUAUUCACGCGUCGAAUCAUGAUUUUGUUAACAUUCAAAACGCACACACAAAU